CGUUCCCGGGCCUUGUACACACCGCCCGUCACACCACGAAAGCCGGAAACACCCGAAGUCCGUGAGCCAACCCUUUUGGGAGGCAGCGGCCGAAGGUGGCGUCGGUGAUUGGGGUG
RNAcentral lists this ribosomal RNA (116 nucleotides) under uncultured bacterium. Its description in RNAcentral is "partial 16S ribosomal RNA". It matches the Rfam family "Bacterial small subunit ribosomal RNA", at positions 1369 to 1482 of the family's 1533-position model. The record is from RNAcentral.